This 465-nucleotide ribosomal RNA is filed under the name uncultured bacterium. Its description in RNAcentral is "partial 16S ribosomal RNA". It matches the Rfam family "Bacterial small subunit ribosomal RNA", at positions 339 to 795 of the family's 1533-position model. The record is from RNAcentral.
CUACGGGACGCUGCAGUGGGGAAUAUUGGACAAUGGGGGAAACCCUGAUCCAGCAAUGCCGCGUGUGUGAAGAAGGCCUGCGGGUUGUAAAGCACUUUCGGUUGGGAGGACUGCUUCUAGCACUAAUAUUGUUGGAAGUUGACGUUACCUUCAGAAGAAGCACCGGCUAACUCCGUGCCAGCAGCCGCGGUAAUAGGGAGGGUGCAAGCGUUAAUCGGAAUUACUGGGCGUAAAGCGCGCGUAGGCGGCUAGAUCAGUCGGGUGUGAAAGCCCCGGGCUGAACCUGGGAACUGCAUCCGAUACUGUCUAGCUUGAGUACAGGAGAGGAGAGUGGAAUUCCAGAUGUAGGGGUGAAAUGCGUAGAUAUGUGGAGGAACACCAAUGGCGAAGGCAGCUCUCUGGCCUGAUACUGACGCUGAGGUGCGAAAGCGUGGGGAGCAAACAGGAUUAGAUACCCUCGUAGUC